RNAcentral lists this ribosomal RNA (253 nucleotides) under uncultured bacterium. RNAcentral's name for it is "partial 16S ribosomal RNA". It matches the Rfam family "Bacterial small subunit ribosomal RNA", at positions 524 to 776 of the family's 1533-position model. The record is from RNAcentral.
UACGUAGGGUGCAAGCGUUGUCCGGAAUUAUUGGGCGUAAAGAGCUCGUAGGCGGUCUGUCGCGUCUGCUGUGAAAACUCAGGGCUUAACCCUGAGCUUGCAGUGGGUACGGGCAGACUAGAGUGUUGCAGGGGAGACUGGAAUUCCUGGUGUAGCGGUGAAAUGCGCAGAUAUCAGGAGGAACACCGGUGGCGAAGGCGGGUCUCUGGGCAACAACUGACGCUGAGGAGCGAAAGCGUGGGGAGCGAACAGG